ACCCUUCCAGAAAGGGGACGGCUAAUUACGUGCCAGCAGCCGCGGUAAUACGUAUGUCCCGAGCGUUAUCCGGAUUUAUUGGGCGUAAAGCGAGCGCAGACGGUUUAUUAAGUCUGAUGUGAAAGCCCGGAGCUCAACUCCGGAAUGGCAUUGGAAACUGGUUAACUUGAGUGCAGUAGAGGUAAGUGGAACUCCAUGUGUAGCGGUGGAAUGCGUAGAUAUAUGGAAGAACACCAGUGGCGAAGGCGGCUUACUGGACUGCAACUGACGUUGAGGCUCGAAAGUGUGGGUAGCAAACAGGAUUAGAUACCCUGGUAGUCCACACCGUAAACGAUGAACACUAGGUGUUAGGAGGUUUCCGCCUCUUAGUGCCGAAGCUAACGCAUUAAGUGUUCCGCCUGGGGAGUACGACCGCAAGGUUGAAACUCAAAGGAAUUGACGGGGACCCGCACAAGCGGUGGAGCAUGUGGUUUAAUUCGAAGCAACGCGAAGAACCUUACCAGGUCUUGACAUCCUUUGAAGCUUUUAGAGAUAGAAGUGUUCUCUUCGGAGACAAAGUGACAGGUGGUGCAUGGUCGUCGUCAGCUCGUGUCGUGAGAUGUUGGGUUAAGUCCCGCAACGAGCGCAACCCUUAUUGUUAGUUGCCAGCAUUCAGAUGGGCACUCUAGCGAGACUGCCGGUGACAAACCGGAGGAAGGCGGGGACGACGUCAGAUCAUCAUGCCCCUUAUGACCUGGGCUACACACGUGCUACAAUGGCGUAUACAACGAGUUGCCAGCCCGCGAGGGUGAGCUAAUCUCUUAAAGUACGUCUCAGUUCGGAUUGUAGUCUGCAACUCGACUACAUGAAGUCGGAAUCGCUAGUAAUCGCGGAUCAGCACGCCGCGGUGAAUACGUUCCCGGGUCUUGUACACACCGCCCGUCACACCAUGGGAGUUUGUAAUGCCCAAAGCCGGUGGCCUAACCUUUAGGAAGGAGCCGUCUAAGCAGACAGUACUAAU
Molecule: ribosomal RNA, 1000 nt
Filed under: Leuconostoc mesenteroides
Lineage: Bacteria; Bacillati; Bacillota; Bacilli; Lactobacillales; Lactobacillaceae
Description: bacterial SSU rRNA
Rfam family: Bacterial small subunit ribosomal RNA
Source: RNAcentral